This is a long non-coding RNA of Poeciliopsis prolifica (blackstripe livebearer), 1694 nucleotides long. RefSeq lists it as uncharacterized. The transcript is spliced from 10 exons. Lineage: Eukaryota; Metazoa; Chordata; Actinopteri; Cyprinodontiformes; Poeciliidae. The record is from RefSeq and is a predicted model, not a curated record.
CUGUAACGGAAACACUUAGGCUACGUUCACAUUGCGGCCUUAAGUGACCCAAACCCGAUUUUAGAUUCACAUUUCCAACCGUAAGCGACCUGAAAGUGUCCCGCAUGCGCAGUAGAGGGCGCAAAAGCUCAAUGUUUUGCCAACCGCCAUUAAAAACACGAAGAAGACGAAGAAGAAGAAUUGCUCCGCCGUUGCAGAAGUAAAGAUAGAUGCUAACGGUGGAGCGUAUCUUGUUGUCACUGCAGUCCGCCAUUGUUGUUACUUUUCUUCCCGCUUUCGUGUAUCAGGGCACAGAAUAUUGACGUUUGUCGCGUAUCGAUGACGUCCACCUGGCUGAGCAGUCAGGUUCCAAAAGAUCAGAUAUGUACCGAAUAUCCAAGUGGACCGAGUCACAUUCGUCACGAAGAGAGAAGGGUAGAGGUCAGCGUCCUUGAAUCUCCUCUGUAACGUCUGCAGAUAAAUAACAGGCAACCCACCGACUGCAACCCGAAGCUCCAAGGACUUCAGAUAGCCAUUAGGGGGCAGUGCUGCUUUUCCACAGACGCUGCAUGUGGAGCAGCUCAACCUCUCUGUGCUCAUGCCCUCAGGCUUUAGGCAAGAUUUGUGAAAGAGGACUAUUUGAAGAGCAUGUUUCGCCCCAGAGGUUGGCCAUCCUAUUAAGCCUCCCCUCAUUCUGCUUGCUGAUGAAUCUCGGUUCUCCUGCCGCUCCAUGCUAGGAUUUGAUUGUCAGUUUUAAUGAAGACGCUGAAGUGUUCAUCGUUAGCCUGGACCCGCAGAAUGACGCAUCCAAAUGAACCCUGAAACAUACUUGACUGUAUGUUUCUACAAAUAGACUUUCUUGAGCCACGUUACUCAGUGACAUUUCCUUGAACCCAGUUUUAACUUCAGCCCCAACACCAAGUCUGAAAACUCUUGCAAGGCUUUGAGAGAUAGAGAAAAAGUGAGAAAUGGCCUGAAGUUCUGUGUUUUUCCACAAACACUGCUGCUGCGGAGCGAGAGUGUGUUUCCACCUCACAUCCUGCUGCCAGCUGGUCGCACAGAUUGCCUGUCAUCUCCACAUCUCAUCUUUAAGCCCAUUUUCUGUACGUAAAAUGAACAUUUCGUUGCUGCCUCACUCAGCGCCUGACUUCCAGCCUCUCAGAAAUCCCACUGAGAUGGAUUAACUGAAUCCUUUUCAACUCAACAGUGUUGGAACUCAUAUCACAGAUCUGAGAUUGAAGACCGAUGAGGAGCAGCGAGCCUGAAGAGAGGGAAUCUUAGAACGAGUGAAGUAAUAAAAACUGAAAACGAGAGACGGAGAUCUUUCAGAUCUAUGCAACACCCCCACUGAGCAAACUGGGGAGAAGCUGCAAAGAAAUGGGGGAAAAUGACAUGCAUGUGGCUUUGGAUUGAUGGAUGAAUGCAGAGCCUGGAGGCAACAAUUUCAACUUACAAGUGAGUCGCGGAGCUGCAUUUACUUCCUGCCCUCCGUCUGGCCACCGCCACCAGGGCCGGCGGCCACCGGGCCACUGCCACAGGCCGCCGCCACCGGGCCGCCGCCACCGGGCCGCCGCCACAGGGACGCCGCCGCCACUGCAUCUGAACUCAACAAUUAUCUCCGAAACAAGUUUUUGGGAAACAUCUGAACUAAAGUGUGACUCCAUGACAGAUCCAUGGACCAGUAGGGGGCGCCCAUGGACCACCAGGGGGCGCCC